Long non-coding RNA from Alosa sapidissima (American shad), 100 nucleotides. RefSeq lists it as uncharacterized. The transcript is spliced from 3 exons. Lineage: Eukaryota; Metazoa; Chordata; Actinopteri; Clupeiformes; Clupeidae. The record is from RefSeq and is a predicted model, not a curated record.
UAUUUCAUUUCCAAAGAAGAUUUUACACGCGCAGCAUCACAAGAUUCAUUAACGGAAAAUCCUGACAGCGAACCCGAUGCAAAGCCAAAACGAGAAAAAA